RNAcentral lists this ribosomal RNA (435 nucleotides) under uncultured bacterium. RNAcentral's name for it is "partial 16S ribosomal RNA". It matches the Rfam family "Bacterial small subunit ribosomal RNA", at positions 29 to 507 of the family's 1533-position model. The record is from RNAcentral.
AACGAACGCUGGCGGCAUGCCUAACACAUGCAAGUCGAACGAUUGCCUUCGGGUGAUAGUGGCGCACGGGUGCGUAACGCGUGGGAAUCUGCCCUUAGGUUCGGAAUAACAGCUGGAAACGGCUGCUAAUACCGGAUGAUAUCGCGAGAUCAAAGAUUUAUCGCCUGAGGAUGAGCCCGCGUUGGAUUAGGUAGUUGGUGGGGUAAAGGCCUACCAAGCCGACGAUCCAUAGCUGGUCUGAGAGGAUGAUCGGCCACACUGGGACUGAGACACGGCCCAGACUCCUACGGGAGGCAGCAGUGGGGAAUAUUGGACAAUGGGCGCAAGCCUGAUCCAGCAAUGCCGCGUGAGUGAUGAAGGCCCUAGGGUUGUAAAGCUCUUUUACCCGGGAAGAUAAUGACUGUACCGGGAGAAUAAGCCCCGGCUAACUCCGUG